This 253-nucleotide ribosomal RNA is filed under the name uncultured bacterium. RNAcentral describes it as "partial 16S ribosomal RNA". It matches the Rfam family "Bacterial small subunit ribosomal RNA", at positions 524 to 776 of the family's 1533-position model. The record is from RNAcentral.
UACGUCGGGUGCGAGCGUUGUCCUGACUUAUUGGGCGUAAAGAGCUCGUAGGCGGUUUGUCGCGUCUGCUGUGAAAACCUCAGGCUCAACCUGGGGCCUGCAGUGGGUACGGGCAGACUAGAGUGCGGUAGGGGUGACUGGAAUUCCUGGUGUAGCGGUGGAAUGCGCAGAUAUCAGGAGAAACACCGAUGGCGAAGGCAGGUCACUGGGCCGCAACUGACGCUGAGGAGCGAAAGCAUGGGGAGCGAACAGG